AGGUCGUGAUUCUUCAUAACAACAUCCGCUUGACCUCGCAAUGCCAUGAAGAAGAAAGGCGUGGAACAUUUGCUUAAGAUCUUCAGCAGAUGUUUGAGAAAAAAAAUCAUCAUCCUCUUCGUCACUCUUCAUCCGUAUUUGGGGUAACAAACACCUGCUUCCCACAAGAGACUGGACCUCUGAAGUCAGAUAAUUUUACUGGUACAAUGUUGGAUGGAUCAUCAGACCUGCACCUUCCUUGAACAUGUUGGUAACUUACUCUGUAUUUGUUCACGGUGGUCACCCCAGGGUUUCAGGACUCAAAACGAGUGCUCUAUGGAUUGAACAGAAAAUGUGGAUCAACACUCCAACCAUCUGCAUUAGGGACUGAAUAAAGGAUGCCCUCUGUAGCUGGGAAUGUUAGAUCAGCUUUGCCCCAUUCAGCAACAUGAGCAACUGUGACCAUCGACAACAGGAAGUGGGCAUGUCCAGCUAUGCCACAACGUUGAGGAAAGUUCAACUUGAUGAAGGACUUUUGGGAGAAACUACCAAUGAGAGUGAAGCAGUGAAGUUCAUGUCAUCACUCUUUUGUCAUUUACUGAGAGGAUUGUUACUCAUUUGUUUGUAGUUUUUACUAGGACAACCAGAAUUGGGAACGCCUUCUGAUAAACUCAUUAAAAGAAAUGGCUGACACACAGUGACUAGGUUGUUGGCGGUGUGAAUGCAGCAUAAGGCCUUAAACUGUCUGUGGCAAAUAUUUUUAGCACUCAAAAUAAAUAGGAGUGCUGCUUUUAAAGGAAAACACCACAGUUUUUCAAUAUUUUACUAUGUUCUUACCUCAACUUAGAUAAAUUAAUACAUCCCUAUCUUUCAUCAAUGCAUGCACUUAAUAUUUGUACAGCGCGUCGUGAAUGUGUUAGCAUUUAGCCUAGCCCCAUUCAUUCCUCGGCGCGCAGUAACAUCAUCACUCCUGACAACUCCCCCUCUUUUAAGUUUGAGCGAGAGGUGGAGUAAUCAGGAGUGAUGAUGUUACUGUGCGCCGAGGUCGAAGUGCUGCAAACUUAGUGCUCUUUUGCCAUACAAUAUAGUUCUCAUUUUUAUCCGCUUAAAAAAUUGCCACAUUUUAUUUUGUGCCACCAUACUUACUCGUGUAACUACUUAUGUAACAGUCUUUAAAUAGGGAAAACGGGUUGGGUGGCUUCUAAAUUCAUCCCUGUUUGGAUCCAACGCGCUGUACAAAGAUUAAGUGCACGCUUUGCAAAAAGAUGGGUAAGUAUAAAUUCGUCUAAAGUAAAAACAUAGUAACAUUUUGGAAAGCGGUGGUGUUUUCCAUUUAAAGGGAUAGUUCACCCAAAAAUGAAAAUAAUGUAAUUAAUGACUCACCCUCAUGUUGUUCCAAACUUGUAAGACCUCCGUUCAUCUUCGGAAC
Paramisgurnus dabryanus is the source of this 1408-nucleotide non-coding RNA. Lineage: Eukaryota; Metazoa; Chordata; Actinopteri; Cypriniformes; Cobitidae. The record is from RefSeq and is a predicted model, not a curated record.